GACGAACGCUGGCGGCGUGCUUAACACAUGCAAGUCGAACGGGAAGGCCCUGCUUUUGUGGGGUGCUCGAGUGGCGAACGGGUGAGUAACACGUGAGUAUCCUGCCCUUGACUUUGGGAUAACUUCAGGAAACUGGGGCUAAUACCGGAUAGGAGCUCCUGCUGCAUGGUGGGGGUUGGAAAGUUUCGGCGGUUGGGGAUGGACUCGCGGCUUAUCAGCUUGUUGGUGGGGUAGUGGCUUACCAAGGCUUUGACGGGUAGCCGGCCUGAGAGGGUGACCGGCCACAUUGGGACUGAGAUACGGCCCAGACUCCUACGGGAGGCAGCAGUGGGGAAUAUUGCACAAUGGGCGGAAGCCUGAUGCAGCAACGCCGCGUGCGGGAUGACGGCCUUCGGGUUGUAAACCGCUUUCGCCUGUGACGAAGCGUGAGUGACGGUAAUGGGUAAAGAAGCACCGGCUAACUACGUG
Molecule: ribosomal RNA, 468 nt
Filed under: uncultured bacterium
Lineage: Bacteria
Description: partial 16S ribosomal RNA
Rfam family: Bacterial small subunit ribosomal RNA
Source: RNAcentral